RNAcentral lists this ribosomal RNA (474 nucleotides) under uncultured bacterium. RNAcentral describes it as "bacterial SSU rRNA". It matches the Rfam family "Bacterial small subunit ribosomal RNA", at positions 335 to 800 of the family's 1533-position model. The record is from RNAcentral.
ACUCCUACGGGAGGCAGCAGUGGGGAAUAUUGCACAAUGGGCGCAAGCCUGAUGCAGCCAUGCCGCGUGUAUGAAGAAGGCCUUCGGGUUGUAAAGUACUUUCAGCAGUGAGGAAGGUGGAUAUGUUAAUAGCAUAUUCAUUUGACGUUAGCUGCAGAAGAAGCACCGGCUAACUCCGUGCCAGCAGCCGCGGUAAUACGGAGGGUGCGAGCGUUAAUCGGAAUUACUGGGCGUAAAGCGCAUGCAGGUGGUUUGUUAAGUCAGAUGUGAAAGCCCGGGGCUCAACCUCGGAAUUGCAUUUGAAACUGGCAAACUAGAGUACUGUAGAGGGGGGUAGAAUUUCAGGUGUAGCGGUGAAAUGCGUAGAGAUCUGAAAGGAAUACCGGUGGCGAAGGCGGCCCCCUGGACAGAUACUGACACUCAGAUGCGAAAGCGUGGGGAGCAAACAGGAUUAGAUACCCCGGUAGGCUCUGC